This 491-nucleotide long non-coding RNA is filed under the name Ananas comosus (pineapple). Its description in RNAcentral is "long non-coding RNA (ACOM_LNC014082)". Lineage: Eukaryota; Viridiplantae; Streptophyta; Magnoliopsida; Poales; Bromeliaceae. The record is from RNAcentral.
AAAUAUAUAAUUUUAUCAUUUUGAAGGAAUAAAUAUGCAAUUAAUCCUAAUUUCUAUAUCUAUAGAGGCGAGAUGUUAUACUUUCGAAGCUACGGAGGUCUCCGUAUUUUUAAAUUAUUUUUAAGGAAAAACUUCAAAAACCCUUCUGUGGUUUCGCACUUUCUCACUUUAGUACCAGUGGUUUAAAGCAUAUCAAUUUGCCCCCCUGUGGUUUCGUUUUUCUCUUUUUAGUAUCAAUUUUAUUUUAUUUAUUCCUUAAAUCAGUGACAAAGUUAAAAUUAAAGGAUAUUAAAGUAAAUAUUCGAUAAAUUUAGAUGGAUAUCUGAAGUUUUUUUUAUAUAAUUUAACAAAAUAUUAAGAAAAAAGUUGCCGAAAAGAUAAAAACAAAACCACAGGGACAGAAAGGGCAAAUCGAUACACUUUAAACCACAUGAUAUUAAAGUGAGAAAGUGCGAAACCACGGGCUUUUCUUGAAGUUUUUCCUAUUUUUA